This 253-nucleotide ribosomal RNA is filed under the name uncultured bacterium. Its description in RNAcentral is "partial 16S ribosomal RNA". It matches the Rfam family "Bacterial small subunit ribosomal RNA", at positions 524 to 776 of the family's 1533-position model. The record is from RNAcentral.
UACGUAGGUGGCAAGCGUUGUCCGGAUUUACUGGGCGUAAAGGGCGUGCAGGCGGUUUGUUAAGUGCAGGGUGAAAGCUCCCGGCUCAACUGGGAGAGGUCCUUGCAUACUGGCAAACUCGAGGGAGGCAAAGGAAAGUGGAAUUCCCGGUGUAGUGGUGAUAUGCGUAGAUAUCUGGAGGAAUACCGGUGGCGAAGGCGGCAUCCUGGACCAUUACUGACGCUGAGGCGCGAAAGCUAGGGGAGCAAACGGG